RNAcentral lists this ribosomal RNA (253 nucleotides) under uncultured bacterium. RNAcentral describes it as "partial 16S ribosomal RNA". It matches the Rfam family "Bacterial small subunit ribosomal RNA", at positions 524 to 776 of the family's 1533-position model. The record is from RNAcentral.
UACGUAGGCAGCGAGCGUUGUUCGGAGUUACUGGGCGUAAAGGGUGUGUAGGCGGCCUAUUAAGUUUGGUGUGAAAUCUCCCGGCUCAACCGGGAGGGUGCGCCGAAAACUGGGAGGCUAGAGUGCGGGAUGGGAGAGUGGAACUGCGAGUGUAGAGGUGAAAUUCGUAGAUAUUCGCAAGAACACCAGUGGCGAAGGCGGCUCACUGGCCCGGUACUGACGCUGAGGUGCGAAAGCGUGGGGAGCAAACAGG